GACCCGGUAGCACAACUGGCUAGUGCGCCCUGAAUCAACGGGUCCACAUGAAGCUUUCUCAGGGCGAUCCUUGUUCGAAUCAAGGGUGGGUUA
Non-coding RNA from Mycena polygramma, 93 nucleotides. The record is from the annotation of a GenBank genome assembly. NCBI's taxonomy places the organism in Eukaryota, Fungi, Basidiomycota, Agaricomycetes, Agaricales, Mycenaceae.